RNAcentral lists this unclassified non-coding RNA (339 nucleotides) under uncultured fungus. Its description in RNAcentral is "partial contains 5.8S ribosomal RNA, internal transcribed spacer 2, and large subunit ribosomal RNA". Lineage: Eukaryota; Fungi. The record is from RNAcentral.
AACGCAUAUGGCACCUUUUGACGCUUGUGAAAAGGUAUGCCUGUUUGAGAAUCAUAUUCCACUAUUCAUUCCGUUCCUCUGUUGGUCACUGCACUCGUGUGGGGUGGUUGAUGGGAGCGACGGGAUGGCACACUUGGACCUUUAUCAUUGAUCGUCCUGAAUUCUGUGAUGGUUGACCGUGUUGGUAGAUGAGGAUGGAGAGUGGACGGCGUGCGUGUCAUGUCAUGUCGUGUCGUGUCAUGUGGUUCACUCGAUGUUCGUGUGCUUUGACACGUCAAGAAUGCAAACAGCAACAACAACCAUGAUCUCAAAUCAGGCAGGGCUACCCGCUGAACUUAA